This is a long non-coding RNA of Carassius auratus (goldfish), 528 nucleotides long. RefSeq lists it as uncharacterized. The record is from RefSeq and is a predicted model, not a curated record. The transcript has 4 exons. Lineage: Eukaryota; Metazoa; Chordata; Actinopteri; Cypriniformes; Cyprinidae.
UAUAAACGGAGGUCGGAGCCAGCUCCAAAUGGGCGGGUCAGCUCCAAAUGGGUGGGACUUCAGCUCCAAGUGGGCUGUACAAACCUCCAGAGCCUUUUGAUUGGUUUAUUUAAUGUCAUGGGGUUAAUGCACGCUGCGAACCCCCCCACACACACAAAAAAGAAAAAAAAGACGACGUCAACUUCCCAAGGCUUUUCAGCGUCAAGAAAGAGGAGUUUGAAGGGAUUACGGACACUGAAGACUAUAAGCAGAAAGUUCAAGUCUGGGUGGCCAAAAGUUACAUUUCAGUGAUCUGGUUACCACCUCUCUCUGCAAACCCAAAGGAUCACUUUCCUCAGCGGAUCUACCCCAAUCAUCAUUAACGGGACCACAGUGGAGAGAGUGAGCACCUUCAAAUACCUUCAAAUGCCCUGCAAAGAGUAGCUGAACACGUCUAGAACAUCUCUCUCCUCUCUGCAAGACAUCCAAACCAGGAGAUGUAAAUCUAGGGCUGUUAAGAUCCUUAAUCAUCCUCACUGCACAUUGUUU